AUUGAACGCUGGCGGCAGGCCUAACACAUCCAAGUCGAGCGAGCGGCGGACGGGUGAGUAAUGUAUGGGAAACUGCCAGAUGGAGGGGGAUAACUACUGGAAACGGUAGCUAAUACCGCAUACUAUCAGAUGAGCCCAUAUGGGAUUAGCUAGUAGGUGGGGUAAUGGCUCACCUAGGCGACGAUCCCUAGCUGGUCUGAGAGGAUGACCAGCCACACUGGGACGGAGACACGGUCCAGACUCCUACGGGAGGCAGCAGUGGGGAAUAUUGCACAAUGGGCGCAAGCCUGAUGCAGCCAUGCCGCGUGUAGGAAGAAGGCCUUCGGGUUGUAAAGCACUUUCAGCGAGGAGGCGUUACUCGCAGAAGAAGCACCGGCUAACUCCGUGCCAGCAGCCGCGGUAAUUC
This 406-nucleotide ribosomal RNA is filed under the name uncultured bacterium. RNAcentral's name for it is "partial 16S ribosomal RNA". It matches the Rfam family "Bacterial small subunit ribosomal RNA", at positions 30 to 526 of the family's 1533-position model. The record is from RNAcentral.